Molecule: ribosomal RNA, 458 nt
Filed under: uncultured bacterium
Lineage: Bacteria
Description: bacterial SSU rRNA
Rfam family: Bacterial small subunit ribosomal RNA
Source: RNAcentral
UACGGGAGGCAGCAGUAGGGAAUCUUCCGCAAUGGACGAAAGUCUGACGGAGCAACGCCGCGUGAACGAUGAAGGCUUUCGGGUCGUAAAGUUCUGUUGUUAGGGAGAACAAGUACCAGAGUAACUGCUGGUACCUUGACGGUACCUAACCAGAAAGCCACGGCUAACUACGUGCCAGCAGCCGCGGUAAUACGUAGGUGGCAAGCGUUGUCCGGAAUUAUUGGGCGUAAAGCGCGCGCAGGUGGUCCUUUAAGUCUGAUGUGAAAGCCCACGGCUCAACCGUGGAGGGUCAUUGGAAACUGGGGGACUUGAGUGCAGAAGAGGAAAGUGGAAUUCCACGUGUAGCGGUGAAAUGCGUAGAGAUGUGGAGGAACACCAGUGGCGAAGGCGACUUUUCUGGUCUGUAACUGACACUGAGGCGCGAAAGCGUGGGGAGCGAACAGGGAUUAGAUACCCGU